RNAcentral lists this long non-coding RNA (968 nucleotides) under Felis catus (domestic cat). RNAcentral describes it as "lncRNA (ENSFCAG00000047503.1)". Lineage: Eukaryota; Metazoa; Chordata; Mammalia; Carnivora; Felidae. The record is from RNAcentral.
CCUACCUUCCCGCUGUUUCCUCCUGGUCCUUCUGGGCGGUGCAACCUCUGGCUUCCAGGGCCUACCGGCAGCUGACAGCCACCAAGAGCUUCGAAGGCUACCAGCGGUCGUGCGGAUGGUCUCCCUGUCGCAGAGGAGCACAUCCCAGGUAGUGUUGGUCCAAGGAAAACGAAGGAUGUGUGGAGCUGACCUGAAUGUGACGUGCGUCCCGAAGCAGAACUUCCCCAGGCUACUCUCAGGUUUGUAAGAAAACAAAUGAAUGUUUGUUGUUGGAAGUUGGUACAAUUUUGAGAUUUUUUUCUGACUUAAUAUCAGUAGGAAUUCCCAUGCUUUCUCAACUGACCUCACUGUGGACACACAUGCAGAACUGUGCCCAGUCUUACGUGUAAUCUGUUUGCCUGGACUGGAGAGUCCACUUUCCAGUUAAAUCACCAUGGUUCUCAAAUCAAAGCCAUUGAUCAUCUCAAAAAGCACUAACUUGGAAGUAUUCAAGCUUUGAACUUAGGUCUGAAAUACAUAAAUUUUUCUAUUAUUUUAAGAAACAUAAAAUGAAUAUCAUAGGAAAAAGAAACUCUGGAAUGAUCAGGGGGCCAAAAGUCUUUGCACUGUAUUCACCUUGGUCUAGUGGUGGGCAUCUCAAAUAGUGUGGCACAGACAUCACAUGAGCCAAGAGCACAAUGUCAGAAGGCUAAUUCUGGUCCAGUCUACUUGCUGAGAUGUCUUGGCACUUAAUUAACUUCUUUUUUUUUUUUAAUUAAAAAAAUUUUUUUAAUGUUUAUUUUUGAGAGAGAGAGGAGCAGAGAGAGAGAGGGAGACACAGAAUCUGAAGCAGGCUCCAGGCUCUGAACUGUCAGGAGAGAGCCCAACGUGGGGCUUGAACUCACGAACUUUGAGAUCAUGACCUGAGCCAAAGUCGGACAUUUAACCAACGGAGCCACCCAGGUGCCCCUUAAUUAACUUUUUUGAGU